RNAcentral lists this ribosomal RNA (253 nucleotides) under uncultured bacterium. Its description in RNAcentral is "partial 16S ribosomal RNA". It matches the Rfam family "Bacterial small subunit ribosomal RNA", at positions 524 to 776 of the family's 1533-position model. The record is from RNAcentral.
GACGAACCGUGCGAACGUUGUUCGGAUUCACUGGGCUUAAAGGGCGCGUAGGCGGGUUUUCAAGUCUGGGGUGAAAUCCUCUCGCUCAACGAGAGAACUGCCCUGGAUACUGGAGACCUCGAGGGAGGUAGGGGCAUGUGGAACUUCCGGUGGAGCGGUGAAAUGCGUAGAUAUCGGAAGGAACGCCGGUGGCGAAAGCGACGUGCUGGACCUCUUCUGACGCUGAGGCGCGAAAGCCAGGGGAGCAAACAGG